This 465-nucleotide ribosomal RNA is filed under the name uncultured bacterium. Its description in RNAcentral is "partial 16S ribosomal RNA". It matches the Rfam family "Bacterial small subunit ribosomal RNA", at positions 28 to 507 of the family's 1533-position model. The record is from RNAcentral.
GACGAACGCUGGCGGCGUGCUUAACACAUGCAAGUCGAACGCUGAACCCGCUUCGGUGGGGGAUGAGUGGCGAACGGGUGAGUAACACGUGCGCAACCUGCCCCCGGCUCUUGGAUAAAUCCAAAGAAUUGGGGCUGAUACCGGAUGUGCCCGCUGGCCGCGUGGUCUGUUGGUGGAAAAGAUGUCCGGCUGGGGAUGGGCCCGCGGCCUAUCAGCUUGUUGGUGGGGUAGUGGCCUACCAAGGCGACGACGGGUAGCCGGCCUGAGAGGGUGACCGGCCGCAGCGCUACCGAGAUAGGGCCCAGACUCCGCUGGGAGGCAGCACUGGGGAAGAGCGUAACACGUGCGGGACGAUGACGGAGCGCGGCUGGGUGGGGGAUGGCGGCCUUCGGGUUGUAAACCUCUUUCAGCAGGGACGAAGCGCAAGUGACGGUACCUGCAGAAGAAGCACCGGCCAACUACGUG